GACGAACGCUGGCGGCGUGCUUAACACAUGCCAGUCGAACGGAAAGGCCUUUUCGGAGGUACUCGAGUGGCGAACGGGUGAGUAACACGUGGGUGAUCUGCCCUGCACUCUGGGAUAAGCCUGGGAAACUGGGUCUAAUACCGGAUAGGACCGCACUUUAGUGUGUGUGGUGGAAAGUUUUUUCGGUGUAGGAUGAGCCCGCGGCCUAUCAGCUUGUUGGUGGGGUAAUGGCCUACCAAGGCGGCGACGGGUAGCCGGACUGAGAGGUUGGUCGGCCACAUUGGGACUGAGAUACGGCCCAGACUCCUACGGGAGGCAGCAGUGGGGAAUAUUGCACAAUGGGCGCAAGUCUGAUGCAGCGACGCCGCGUGGGGGAUGACGGCCUUCGGGUUGUAAACUCCUUUCGCCAGGGACGAAGCGUUUUGUGACGGUACCUGGAGAAGAAGCACCGGCUAACUACGUG
This 463-nucleotide ribosomal RNA is filed under the name uncultured bacterium. Its description in RNAcentral is "partial 16S ribosomal RNA". It matches the Rfam family "Bacterial small subunit ribosomal RNA", at positions 28 to 507 of the family's 1533-position model. The record is from RNAcentral.